Molecule: transfer RNA, 72 nt
Filed under: Fukomys damarensis (Damara mole-rat)
Lineage: Eukaryota; Metazoa; Chordata; Mammalia; Rodentia; Bathyergidae
Rfam family: tRNA
About the family: Transfer RNA (tRNA) molecules are approximately 80 nucleotides in length.
Source: Rfam by way of RNAcentral
UGGGGUGUAGCUCAGUGGUAGAGCCCUGGCCUAGCAUGUGUGAGGCUCUGGAUUCAAUCUCCAGUACCUCAA